Molecule: long non-coding RNA, 2468 nt
Filed under: Hordeum vulgare
Lineage: Eukaryota; Viridiplantae; Streptophyta; Magnoliopsida; Poales; Poaceae
Description: long non-coding RNA (HVUL_LNC011398)
Source: RNAcentral
GUAGAGAUACAUAUGCUAGGAUUUUGAUAGGGAAAAAAUCCUUUAGAGCUCUUUGGUUUGUAGGAAUGGAAUCCUAUUCUUAUUGAGGAAUUCUUCCUAUCCUCCACAUUUCAUAAGAAAAUAAACAUUAGCCUAUACUAAAUGGAGAAAAUCAUAUGGUGUGAAUCAAAGUGCAUCCCAUUUCCUUUUCAGAGGAUUUGAGACACAUGUCAUUUCAUUUGCUAUGACUUUCAUAUUCUUAUGAAUUUCACACCCUAUGAACCGAAGGAGGCCUUAAAGGUCAAUAUGAGUUUCUUUUUCCCACUCACACUCCUCAUGAGCCCGUGUAAAAUAUUGGUUUGUUCCGUGGUGUGGUGGAAUACACCGGUAUGGGUUUUAAAUACGCAAUUUGCUUGGCUUCCAAGUGAGGCCUAAAUCUUCUACACCGCUCGUUCUGUGUGUGUUCGCGCAUGCACGUUACUUGAUCAAAUGUUUACAGAUGCAACAAUUUGUUAGCUUUAGCAUUCCCACAAGGUUCAUUCUCUUGUUUGAUUUCUUCAUGCACUCUUAUGAGCACUGGCUAAUUUUAUUGAAGAUGUGUUGGGUUUUUACCCCGCCCUUGCCAUUGACAUUUCUGUGAAGCUAUUUGUUAUAUUUAUUCGAGAUGGUAAAAGGCUUUCCUAUGAAUGAAAUAUACUUAGGACGGUGAUGCAUCUUCCAUAUUCAGUUAGUCUUACGCAUGGGUAAAGAAAUCAAGAGACCAAUCACCAAACUAGCAUAAAUAAAAGAACUGAAUUCUCUUGCCAAAUAUUAAUGUAGUUGUCAAUACUAAAAACUUCCAAAGGACAUUCGAGUGUUGUGGUUUUGUGGAUCUUGUUGACUGGUUAUAAUAGACCUGCAACUGCCUCAAAUGGAAUAUGUUGCUAACAAUUUUUUCAAAUAUUUUUUGUUUUGCUUUCUGCUUCUUAUACCUACUAACUUACAUCAACCCAUACACCUAAACACCUAGCUCCCUGAUGGUCACAGAUGAACCCCUAAUUUCUCUCAUGACAUCCACAUCAUGUUUGAUACUUGGAGCACCAACUUCUCAGAGGCUCCUUUGUUACAUGUUGAGUUCCAGCACAUCCCCUGCUAUCUCUGUCCACAUUCCCCCACCUUAGCCUUAAUACAAUAACGAGGACGAUCACUAGCAAUACGAUAUACUCCAUAUAGCUCAGUGAUAGGUGUAAGAUAUGAACGUAUGAACACUCUGCUGGUCUUCCCAUGACAUUCCCAUCACUCAAUUAUCCUUUAUCUCAAUACAACUUUUACCGUCCCCUUGCAACAGACAUGGAGAUUUUUUGGAUGAUCCAGUGAGCCCAGCUCAAGAUGUGAAGUAGAUAUAUUACAUGUUCAUCUUCUUCUACAAUUAAUUCUAUCGACUUCAAUUCUUUGCAGAAGCAUACAAAGAGCGGAUACAAUAAAAAUACCACGGUCAUCGAUUCAUGAGUAGAUACAAUCCUAGAGGGAUUGAUAAUUUUUCUAUCCACCUUCUUUAGAACAAUCUGUAUGAAAACAUUUUCAACGACGUGAUGCUUUACAAUAUGUAUUGAUGAUAGCCAAAGUAAAUUGUGAUAUACUUCCACAUGUUUUUAUUUGAGAUGAAGUUACACAUUAAAGGUACAACUAUUGGUAGUUUAUGUGUGGGACAUGUAUGUAAUAAAAUCUAGGAAAGCGAAAUGUACAUACUAUGCCGAUAUACAUUAGAUGCACAAUAUAAACAAGAAUUUCACAAGCAUGUCUAGCAUAAUAAUAGGUCAAUGCGGCUUCAUGCAGAAGUCUCCACAUAGUAUACUUGUGCUAUAUUUUCCUUAAUAUGAAUAUAUAUUCUGGUGUUACCAUACAAGGCGAGGAUCAAGUUGAUUGGGAUGUUGUUUUUAGAAGUUACAUGUGUAGCUGCCUAGGAGAAGGGAACUUGUAUAACUAUCUUCAAGGUGUGUUCAUGGUCCCACGAGUUCAAACUUCAGACUGGUGAUCCUGAAUCCUUGAAAAAGUGAUGAUUGCCCCAACAAUUACCUUGAAUUUGACAUCCUUGGGACUGCAGUUUGUGCCAAAGUUGCUACAUGUCUCGGGGAUGAUGAAGCUAAUGCUAGCAACCACAUGGUCUGACUGGUAUGUAUUUUAAGAAAGCAUUAUACAUAUGCUACGUGUAGGAUAAGAUUACUUAGUUGAUACAAGAUUCUGAAAUUUGACAAAAGUAACGUUGUACCACAACAAAUUGGUCUCUACCUACAAAAUUUCAACUACUAUUUAAGUAAUCUAGUUUCUUUCCCUUUCCAGGAGGAUCAUAACCAUAACUGGAAGUGCAAAGGGACAAAUAAAUUUGUUCACAUGCAUAUCACUUAUAUUACAUAAACAUUUAAUUCAUGCAAGGUCUAAGGUAUGUUACUAAAGCAGGUCACAUUUUGUUAGAAAGAUUGCUCAAACGGUGAUUCUCAACCAACAUGAAA